RNAcentral lists this ribosomal RNA (609 nucleotides) under Glomus sp. ZJ. RNAcentral describes it as "SSU rRNA". It matches the Rfam family "Eukaryotic small subunit ribosomal RNA", at positions 644 to 1255 of the family's 1831-position model. The record is from RNAcentral. Lineage: Eukaryota; Fungi; Glomeromycota; Glomeromycetes; Glomerales; Glomeraceae.
GGAUCAGCAGGUUGGUCUUGCCACUGGUAUGUACUAGCUUGCUGAUUCCUCCUUCUUGUAGAACCGUAAUGCCAUUAAUUUGGUGUUGCGGGGAAACAGGACUGUUACUUUGAAAAAAUUAGAGUGUUUAAAGCAGGCUAGCGCCUGAAUACAUUAGCAUGGAAUAAUGAAAUAGGACGUUCGAACCUAUUUUGUUGGUUUCUAGGAUUGACGUAAUGAUUAAUAGGGAUAGUUGGGGGCAUUAGUAUUCAAUUGUCAGAGGUGAAAUUCUUGGAUUUAUUGAAGACUGACUACUGCGAAAGCAUUUGCCAAGGAUGUUUUCAUUAAUCAAGAACGAAAGUUAGGGGAUCGAAGACGAUCAGAUACCGUCGUAGUCUUAGCCAUAAACUAUGCCGACUAGGGAUCGGAUGAUGUUAAUUUUUUAAUGACUCAUUCGGCGCCUUACGGGAAACCAAAGUGUUUGGGUUCCGGGGGGAGUAUGGUCGCAAGGCUGAAACUUAAAGGAAUUGACGGAAGGGCACCACCAGGGGUGGAGCCUGCGGCUUAAUUUGACUCAACACGGGGAAACUCACCAGGUCCAGACAUAGUAAGGAUUGACAGAUUGAGAGC